Molecule: small nuclear RNA, 164 nt
Filed under: Mandrillus leucophaeus (drill)
Lineage: Eukaryota; Metazoa; Chordata; Mammalia; Primates; Cercopithecidae
Description: U1 spliceosomal RNA (ENSMLEG00000012071.1)
Rfam family: U1 spliceosomal RNA
About the family: U1 is a small nuclear RNA (snRNA) component of the spliceosome (involved in pre-mRNA splicing). Its 5' end forms complementary base pairs with the 5' splice junction, thus defining the 5' donor site of an intron.
Source: Rfam by way of RNAcentral
AUACUUACCUGGCAGGGGAGAUACCAUGAUCACGAAGGUGGUCUUCCCAGGGCGAGGCUUAUCCAUUGCACUCUGGAUGUGCUGACCCCUGCGAUUUCCCCAAAUGUGGGAAACUCGACUGCAUAAUUUGUGGUAGUGGGGGACUGCGUUCGCGCUUUCCCCUG